AUGAGGGAGAUUAUAUAAUGAAUUAAAGACAGAAAUUUAUUGGAAAGUUUGAAUUUAAUGUAAAAGAAACGACAUUACAUUUCCCUCUACCUAAUGUAUCUGUGAAAAUAUGAAUUUGCGUAAACGUCCACAGUCUAGUCCGCAGUCUAAUCGCUACUGGUGUAUUAGUAUUCGCAUUACUAAUUACGCAACUGCAUAAUGUACAUCAUGCAUUUGUUUGCAUUUUCAUUCCUCGUAUCGAUCAUUUCUAAAACGGAGUAGGGCAAAAUUGAAACGAUAACUCCGUAAUUAGAACAAUUCGCUCAGUGUGUAUAUAGACCAGACGUUGCUCCCUUUCUUUCUGAGCAGAGCGUGUUUCUUGAGCGGAAGAUGAUUCAACAAUUAUGACGUCAUGAAACAUGGAUGUACCAAAAGUUUUUGCAUCUAAAGAACGAGCACGGUGUUGCAGAGGAACUCGUAAAUGCUCUCGGACCAAUGGCAGAAGACCGUAGAUCAUACUUGCUUGAAUUAUGCUUGGAGAUGGUAUUGUACCUAAAUCCAGCCGAUUAUUUCUGUACCUUUAAUGCGCGUAUGACAUCGAUUCGAUAUAAUACACGCGCUCAUUACACGUGUAAAAGAAACAAAAAAGACGUUCGAUGAACGGGAUUCGAACCGGCGAGAUCAAGCACAUGACCGGCCGAUUAUACCAUCUGCGGCACGGACACUACGGUGACAGAGAUUGAUAUUUAUAGGACGCACAGACAUUUAUAGUAUAUACUUUAACCAAAGUAUUAUAAAUUACUUACUAAAUUUAUUAUUUUACCCUGUAGAGACCCGAGGACUACUAACCUACUUCUGCAGGUUAAAAACAGAGAAGGACAGACCGAAUAAUUUUCUUUGUGCAUGAUGUACAUUAUGUAUUAGGUUGUCCGAAAAGUUUCUUUCGCUUUAUUAAUAAGUAAAACAUGCACAAUGUUCUAUGCUUUAUGUUACAUUACUGAAUUGUGCGCGAUUCAUUUUGCUCCAUUACCGUUACGACAUGAAUAUUUAUGAAACAAAGUCGGUUAAUUAGAUUGUUUAUAUAAACACGACCACAUAAAAUAAUCGAAUGCAACUCGCGAAAGAAACUUUCGGGACAACCUAAUAAAAUCAUGGUAGCAAGGAUGUUUCCUUCGAUCUUGGAGAAAUGGACGAUUUUAAAAUAACCUGUUUCGUAUUUCGAAUCGAUCCUUUGGCGAAUAUCAACGUUACUCUUGUGUAACAAACUGUAUGCAAAAGUGUUAAAAUAAAAUAUAAUUUGUAUCCGA
Molecule: long non-coding RNA, 1286 nt
Organism: Hylaeus volcanicus
Lineage: Eukaryota; Metazoa; Arthropoda; Insecta; Hymenoptera; Colletidae
Exons: 2
Source: RefSeq, a predicted model, not a curated record